GAUCGGAUGGCCGAGCGGUCUAAGGCGCCAGUUUAAGGCACUGGUCUUCAUUGGCGUGGGUUCAAAUCCCACUCCGGUCA
This 80-nucleotide transfer RNA is filed under the name Tribonema minus. It matches the Rfam family "tRNA". Rfam says of the family: Transfer RNA (tRNA) molecules are approximately 80 nucleotides in length. Their secondary structure includes four short double-helical elements and three loops (D, anti-codon, and T loops). Further hydrogen bonds mediate the characteristic L-shaped molecular structure. tRNAs have two regions of fundamental functional importance: the anti-codon, which is responsible for specific mRNA codon recognition, and the 3' end, to which the tRNAs corresponding amino acid is attached (by aminoacyl-tRNA synthetases). tRNAs cope with the degeneracy of the genetic code in two manners: having more than one tRNA (with a specific anti-codon) for a particular amino acid; and 'wobble' base-pairing, i.e. permitting non-standard base-pairing at the 3rd anti-codon position. The record is from Rfam by way of RNAcentral. Lineage: Eukaryota; Xanthophyceae; Tribonematales; Tribonemataceae.